Molecule: non-coding RNA, 29 nt
Filed under: Mus musculus (house mouse)
Lineage: Eukaryota; Metazoa; Chordata; Mammalia; Rodentia; Muridae
Source: RNAcentral
GCUUGCUUAACUUGCCUGAAGCCCUGGGU